GAAAGUCUGACGGAGCAACGCCGCGUGAGUGAUGAAGGUUUUCGGAUCGUAAAACUCUGUUGUUAGGGAAGAACAAGUACCGUUCGAAUAGGGCGGUACCUUGACGGUACUUAACCAAAAAGCCCCGGCUAACUACGUGCCACCAGCCGCGGUAUU
This 156-nucleotide ribosomal RNA is filed under the name uncultured Bacillus sp. RNAcentral describes it as "partial 16S ribosomal RNA". It matches the Rfam family "Bacterial small subunit ribosomal RNA", at positions 377 to 524 of the family's 1533-position model. Lineage: Bacteria; Bacillati; Bacillota; Bacilli; Caryophanales; Bacillaceae. The record is from RNAcentral.